RNAcentral lists this long non-coding RNA (1482 nucleotides) under Equus asinus (donkey). Its description in RNAcentral is "lncRNA (ENSEASG00005026050.1)". The record is from RNAcentral. Lineage: Eukaryota; Metazoa; Chordata; Mammalia; Perissodactyla; Equidae.
UCACAGAGUUAGGCAGGCCUGAACUUCCCACCCCUCGCCUGUGAAGCUUCUGCCCUCCCAGCUAUGAACUGAGGAAGGCCCUGCUUCCUGAUACCGGCUCGGGCAGCAUGGGCUGCCGCCCGGCACACGAGGUACCCAUUCUGUCCUUGGGGUUCCUGAGCCUGGAGACCAGGACAUCGUCUGUCUGGCUCACUGCUGUCUCCACUGUUGGUUAAUACCUAUUUGUUAAAUGAUUGAAAACAUGUCAGCCACUUGAUAGGAUAAGCCAGCCUGGUUGAUGUGGGUGCUGUCUGAGGCUCCAGAGUUGAUUGUGACCCUUUCAGUCUUGUUCCGACCUCUGAGAUUGCAUGUGGAAGCCAAACAGGAUUUUGCUCUGUUCAAAUUAAUUUCUCAAGGACGGGGUUUAUCAAAAGUCCUUCCUGUUUGAAUCCUCUCCUCUGGGAAGGCUUCUCCUUCGGCAUAUGUCCCCAGUGGACAGUCCUCAUCUCCCAGUCGCUCCAGCCGGGGCAGGCCCAGGUCUCCAGGCUUCUCUGGCUGCUCAGGGAUGACCUGUGUGCAUGCUUCUUUCAAAGGCUAACACAAAAGCAGGGGAGGAGACAGGCCUUGAGGUGAGGAAAUUUGUCCAAAGGCCCCCAGCAAGUCAGAGGAAGGGCUAGAAUCUGGCUCUUCAGGCCCUCCUAGAGCACUGUCACUGCAUCAUGUGGCCUUUGUAAGUGACAGGCAGCUGGAGACAAGUUUUCAUCAGAAAAGUGGCCAGAUGUUAGGCAUUGUCUGCACCACUAAAAAGCAGCUCCAGGAACAGAUGCCCACGUCGUAGCAGACCAACUAGGACGUGCUACGGAAGCCAGCAAGAGUGUGGGGAGCCUGGAGGAGGAAAGAGGAAAAGGCAAGAACAGGCCGUAUGCCCGCAGAGGCCACGUCCCCUGGGCACAAGCAAGGAAAAGACCCCAGCCUGUGCCAAGAACCAAGAACCAAGAAGCAUGCCUGGUGAUUCCUAUUUCCUGCGUGCAGCCUGGGCUCCCUGGCUCAUCUCUUCCUGGAAGGUCUUGGAAGUGAGGUGAUUGGACAAGGAAAGGCACUUCGCUGCAGCAUCUGGAAGGCUUCAUUCAUUUGCCCAUUCAGUGGACAUUUGCUGUGCGCUAGGUCUGGGAGGAAGGAAAUGAGAAGACUGAAGCUCAGAGAGUUUACAUGACUUCCUCCAUGUCUCACUGCAAGUGAAGAAACAGGCUGCAGAUGAAGAGCUGAAACCACAAUCUUAGAGGGGCUGGUUGUCUCCCCAGCUGCACUGUGGCGUUCUCAAGGUAGACAUCUCAGGGGCAACACAGCGACAUGGAAAAGAGCUUACUGGGACCAGGCUGCCUGCGUUCAGCCGCGAGGUUAUUACCUGUGGUGACCUGGGUUGUCCUAAGAGGAAUACCUCCCAUUUAAUCUUAAUUGACGUUUGUGAAAUGCCUUGUCUUCCUCUGCUGAAAGGCUGUAAGU